AGUCUCUUUCAGGAACGAAAGAU
This 23-nucleotide small nuclear RNA is filed under the name Arabidopsis thaliana (thale cress). RNAcentral's name for it is "snRNA_17880". The record is from RNAcentral. Lineage: Eukaryota; Viridiplantae; Streptophyta; Magnoliopsida; Brassicales; Brassicaceae.